UACGGAGGGUGCAAGCGUUAUCCGGAUUUACUGGGUUUAAAGGGAGCGCAGGCGGUUUGGUAAGUCAGUGGUGAAAUCCCCGUGCUUAACAUGGGAACUGCCAUUGAUACUAUCAGUCUUGAAUGUUGUUGAGGUUUGCGGAAUGGGUCAUGUAGCGGUGAAAUGCAUAGAUAUGACCCGGAACACCUAUUGCGAAGGCAGCAGGCUAAACAAAUAUUGACGCUGAGGCUCGAAAGCGUGGGGAUCAAACAGG
This 253-nucleotide ribosomal RNA is filed under the name uncultured bacterium. RNAcentral's name for it is "partial 16S ribosomal RNA". It matches the Rfam family "Bacterial small subunit ribosomal RNA", at positions 524 to 776 of the family's 1533-position model. The record is from RNAcentral.